This 540-nucleotide ribosomal RNA is filed under the name uncultured bacterium. RNAcentral describes it as "bacterial SSU rRNA". It matches the Rfam family "Bacterial small subunit ribosomal RNA", at positions 355 to 896 of the family's 1533-position model. The record is from RNAcentral.
UGAGGAAUAUUGGUCUANGGGCGGAAGCCUGAACCAGCCAAGUAGCGUGCAGGAAGACGGCCCUAUGGGUUGUAAACUGCUUUUAUACGAGAAUAAUUUGAUGCACGUGUGCGUUAUUGCAUGUAUCGUAUGAAUAAGGACCGGCUAAUUCCGUGCCAGCAGCCGCGGUAAUACGGAAGGUCCAGGCGUUAUCCGGAUUUAUUGGGUUUAAAGGGAGUGUAGGCGGUUUGUUAAGCGUGUUGUGAAAUUUAGAUGCUCAACAUUUAACUUGCAGCGCGAACUGUCAGACUUGAGUACACGCAACGUAUGCGGAAUUCAUGGUGUAGCGGUGAAAUGCUUAGAUAUCAUGAAGAACUCCGAUUGCGAAGGCAGCAUACGGGAGUGUAACUGACGCUUAAGCUCGAAGGUGCGGGUAUCGAACAGGAUUAGAUACCCUGGUAGUCCGCACAGUAAACGAUGGAUGCCCGCUGUUAGCGCCUGGCGUUAGCGGCUAAGCGAAAGCAUUAAGCAUCCCACCUGGGGAGUACGCCGGCAACGGUG